GCGAGCGUGCCGAAAUGGUAGCCGGGUGAAUCUUAGGCAUUCAUGAUUUUUUAUUGUAAGAGUUCAAGUCUCUUUGCUCGUA
Molecule: transfer RNA, 82 nt
Filed under: Sparassis crispa
Lineage: Eukaryota; Fungi; Basidiomycota; Agaricomycetes; Polyporales; Sparassidaceae
Description: tRNA-Leu
Source: RNAcentral